AUUGAACGCUGGCGCAUGCCUUACCCCUGCCAGUCGCACGGCAGCACGGGUGCUUGCACCUGGUGGCGAGUGGCGAACGGGUGAGUAGUACCUUGGAACAUGUCCUGUAGUGGGGGAUAGCCCGGCCAAAGCCGGAUUAAUAACGCAUACGAUCCACGGAUGAAAGCGGGGGGCCUUCGGGCCUCGCGCUAUAGGGUUGGCCGAUGGCUGAUUAGCUAGUUGGGGGGGUAAAGGCCUACCAAGGCGACGAUCAGUAGCUGGUCUGAGAGGACGACCAGCCACACUGGGACUGAGACACGGCCCAGACUCCUACGGGAGGCAGCAGUGGGGAAUUUUGGACAAUGGGCGAAAGCCUGAUCCAGCAAUGCCGCGUGUGUGAAGAAGGCCUUCGGGUUGUAAAGCACUUUUGUCCGGAAAGAAAUCCUUGACUCUAAUACAGUCGGGGGAUGACGGUACCGGAAGAAUAAGCACCGGCUAACUACGUG
Molecule: ribosomal RNA, 485 nt
Filed under: uncultured bacterium
Lineage: Bacteria
Description: partial 16S ribosomal RNA
Rfam family: Bacterial small subunit ribosomal RNA
Source: RNAcentral